UUUUACAUCUCGUAAAAGACUUAUGCAGAUAACAACUGCGUACCUAGGAGAACUAGGAUUGGACUCCUUUAAAGGAGGAAACAAAAUG
RNAcentral lists this non-coding RNA (88 nucleotides) under unclassified sequences. RNAcentral's name for it is "freshwater-2 RNA". It matches the Rfam family "freshwater-2 RNA". Rfam says of the family: Aquatic, esp. fresh water. No recognized genes The record is from RNAcentral.